GAUUCCCCUAGUAACUGCGAGUGAAGCGGGAAAAGCUCAAAUUUAAAAUCUGGCAGCUUUGGUUGCCCGAGUUGUAGUCUGGAGAAGCGUUUUCUGUGCUGGACCGUGUACAAGUCUCUUGGAACAGAGCGUCAUAGAGGGUGAGAAUCCCGUCUUUGAUACGGACUGCCAGUGCUUUGUGAUGCGCUCUCAAAGAGUCGAGUUGUUUGGGAAUGCAGCUCAAAAUGGGUGGUAAAUUCCAUCUAAAGCUAAAUAUUGGCGAGAGACCGAUAGCGAACAAGUACCGUGAGGGAAAGAUGAAAAGCACUUUGGAAAGAGAGUUAAACAGUACGUGAAAUUGCUGAAAGGGAAACGCUUGAAGUCAGUCGCGUUGUCCAGAACUCAGCCUGGCUUUUGCCUGGUGCAUUUUCUGGUUAACGGGCCAGCAUCAAUUUUGACCGCUGGAUAAAGGCCUUGGGAAUGUGGCUCUCUCGGGAGUGUUAUAGCCCAUGGUUGCAUACAGCGGUUGGGAUUGAGGAUCUCAGCAUGCCUUUAUGGUCGGGGUUCGCCCACGUUCAUGCUUAGGAUGCUGGCGUAAUGGCU
RNAcentral lists this ribosomal RNA (582 nucleotides) under Ceriporiopsis balaenae. Its description in RNAcentral is "eukaryotic LSU rRNA". It matches the Rfam family "Eukaryotic large subunit ribosomal RNA", at positions 73 to 639 of the family's 3401-position model. The record is from RNAcentral. Lineage: Eukaryota; Fungi; Basidiomycota; Agaricomycetes; Polyporales; Meruliaceae.